GAUCUUCAACUAGUGGUAUAUUAGAAACUAAUUUAGAAGCUUUGCUCAAUACUGCCUUUAUUCAUUUAAUAGGUAUUUGUUGAGCUCCUCUUAAUUCUAGGACAUUGUGGUAGAAAUUAUGGGGGGAAUGAAAACAAGAUAUAUGUCUGGCCUAAAAUAAUUUAUACUUCAAUAGUAGAUCACAUGUAUGCAUGUGAUCAGUGCAGUACAAAUGGUGCAAAUUGUUGUGAGUUCCAGGAAUAUCAAGUUCAUGUCCAGAUCCCGUCAGAAAAGAUUUCUGCGCAGAGGUAGCAUUUGAGCUGUGGUAGGCUGAAUGUGUGAGGAUAGGAGGACCUUUCUCAUGGAGUGAUGCUGAGACAGGGAAGGCCCAAGAAAUAGACAUACUAAAUAAAAGUUUGACAGUGUCCCAGAAAAAUAAGCUAUGUCUUGAAGAGGAAAUGAAAAAUCUGAAAUUGUUGUCAGAUGCAGCCAUAUUGAAGGCUCAGCAGAUUCAGACAUCCAAACAACAGGAAGUAAACUUGCAAGCCAGAUGCUAUGAUUUGCAAAAAGAAGUACUAGAUUUACAAUGUCAAGUAGAGGCACUGGGGUUGAAACUUCAGAACACAGUGACAAAGAUGGACAACUAUGAAGAAAUGCUCAUGUAAGAUGGUGACCAUUAAACAACUUGUAAGAUAACAGUGCUUUGUGGAUGUGUCACAAAAUGACAAGAAGUAGAAAGACCCCAGUAUGUUCUCUGUGACUUUUCUGACAGUGAUUCAAUUCCAUGGGUCAUAGUCUACUGCUGCUUUUCUUGGUUACUUUGCUGGCCUAGAUUAUCUACUGAAGAAUCUGUAAAUAUUUUUAAAUACAUGAAGGAUUUCCUUUCCUCAGUAAGAAACUUACCUCUCCACAUAUUAAAGCUUACUCUGUUCAAAUGCUGUUAGUUAAUAUUAAAUAGUCUCUAAACUUUUUUAUUAUCUAUCUCUUUAUUAUCUAUCCACAAGAAACAAUAUUGAAGUUGUUUCUUAAAAUUACCAAUUUUAGGUUCAAAGCAAGAGUUGAGUACUUUUGAAAUGCUGAAGUACUUAUGCUUAAUAUAAGUGAGAAAGAAAAUACUGGCAAACAAAU
Non-coding RNA from Microcebus murinus (gray mouse lemur), 1107 nucleotides. Lineage: Eukaryota; Metazoa; Chordata; Mammalia; Primates; Cheirogaleidae. The record is from RefSeq and is a predicted model, not a curated record.